RNAcentral lists this ribosomal RNA (484 nucleotides) under uncultured bacterium. Its description in RNAcentral is "partial 16S ribosomal RNA". It matches the Rfam family "Bacterial small subunit ribosomal RNA", at positions 29 to 507 of the family's 1533-position model. The record is from RNAcentral.
AUUGAACGCUGGCGGAAUGCUUUACACAUGCAAGUCGAGCGGCAGCGCGGCCUUCGGGCUGGCGGCGAGCGGCGAACGGGUGAGUAAUGCAUCGGAACAUGCCCAGUCGUGGGGGAUAACACUUCGAAAGAAGUGCUAAUACCGCAUACGUCCUGAGGGGGAAAGCGGGGGAUCGCAAGACCUCGCGCGAUUGGAGUGGCCGAUGUCAGAUUAGCUAGUUGGUGGGGUAAAGGCCUACCAAGGCGACGAUCUGUAGCUGGUCUGAGAGGAUGAUCAGCCACACUGGAACUGAGACACGGCCCAGACUCCUACGGGAGGCAGCAGUGGGGAAUUUUGGACAAUGGGGGCAACCCUGAUCCAGCCAUGCCGCGUGAGUGAAGAAGGCCUUCGGGUUGUAAAGCUCUUUCGGCAGGAACGAAACGGUGGGCUCUAACAUAGUCCGCUAAUGACGGUACCUGAAGAAGAAGCACCGGCUAACUACGUG